GGUGUCUCAAGCUCCUGCUCUUAAAACACCUGCAAGAGAAUCAUCCAGGCGGCUUGCUCGCUCUGUAUGCAGACCCUUUAGAAUCAGAAUCAGAAUCCCUGGGGCUGGAGCCACAAAAUGAAAUGACAUUUCAACAAGUUUGUCAUCACGUAAGAGAGAAUAGAAACUCCUGGAGGGCAGAUGCAUGCCUGCCAUCUUCAUCGUUUCAUUACCACCAUCCAACACUAUCGGGGGACCUGCCCUGAUAAUCAGGUAGGUUCUUUUCUAUUUUCCUAAGUGUCGAGUGGCUUGAGAAAUAAAAGGACAGAGUACAAAAGAGAGAAAUUGUAAAGCUGGGCGUCUGGGGGGAGACAUCACACAUUGGUAGGAUCCGUGAUGCCCCACAAGCCACAAAAACCAGCAAGUUUUUAUUAGGGAGUUUCAAAAGUGUAGAGAGUAUAUGAAUAGGUGUGGGUGACAGACAUCAAGUACUUAACAGGGUAAUAGAAUAUCACAAGGCAAGUGGAGACAGGGUGAGAUCACAGGACCACAGGACGGAAGUGAAAUUAAAAUUGCUAAUGAAGUUUUGGCACCAUUGUCAUUGAUAACAUCUUAUCAGGAGACAGGGUUUUGAGAUCAACCCGUCUGACCAAAGUUUAUUAGGCGGGAAUUUUCUCUUCCUAAUAAGCCUGGGAGUGCUAUGGGAGACUGGAGUUUAUUUCACCUCUGCAAUCUCGACCAUAAGAGACAGGUACGCCAUGGGUGGCCAGUUCCGAGACCUACCCCUAGGUGCGCAUUCUCUUUCUCAGGGACGUUCAAUGCUGAGAAAAGGAAUUCAACGAUAUUUCUCCCAUUUGCUUUUGAAAGAAGAGAAAUAUGGUGCUGUUCUGCCCGGCUCACCGGCGGUCAGAGUUUAAGGUUAUCUCUCUUAUUCCCUGAACAAUUGCUGUUAUCCUGUUCUUUUUUCAGGGUGCCCACAUUUCAUAUUGCUCAAACACACAUGCUGUACAAUUUGUGUAUGUAACGCAAUUAUUACAGGUCCUGAGACGAUAUACAUCCUUCUCGACUGACAGGAUUAAGAGAUUAAAGUAAAGACAGGCAUAGGAAAUCACAAGGGUAUUGAUUGGGGAAGUGAUAAGUGUCCAUGAAAUCUUCACAAUUUAUGUUUAGAGAUUGCAGUAAAGACAGGCAUAAGAAAUUACAAAAGUAUUAAUUUGGGGAACUAAUAAAUGUCCAUAAAAUCUUCAUAAUCCA
This 1233-nucleotide long non-coding RNA is filed under the name Homo sapiens (human). Its description in RNAcentral is "HSALNT0132497". Lineage: Eukaryota; Metazoa; Chordata; Mammalia; Primates; Hominidae. The record is from RNAcentral.